GUUUUUAGUUGUUAACUAAAGGUUUACGGGAUCGAGGCCCGUCGAUCUAG
This 50-nucleotide transfer RNA is filed under the name Bavayia robusta. RNAcentral's name for it is "partial tRNA-Asn". The record is from RNAcentral. Lineage: Eukaryota; Metazoa; Chordata; Lepidosauria; Squamata; Diplodactylidae.